AACGAACGCUGGCGGCAGGCCUAACACAUGCAAGUCGAACGGAUGUAGCAAUACAUUAGUGGCGCACGGGUGAGUAACGCGUGGGAACGUGCCCUUUAGUAGAGGAUAACAGCGGGAAACUGCUGCUAAUACUCUAUACGCCAUUCGGGGGAAAGAAUUUCGCUAAAGGAUCGGCCCGCGUGAGAUUAGGUAGUGGGUGGGGUAAUGGCCUACCAAGCUUACGAGCUCUAGCUGAUCUGAGAGGAUGAUCAGCCACACUGGAACUGAGACACGGUCCAGAGUCCUACAGGGGGCAGCAGUGGUGAAUAUUGGACAAUGAGGGAAACCCUUAUCCAGCCAUGCCGCGUGAAUGAUGAAGGCCUUAGUGUUGUAAAGCUCUUUUAUCAGGGAAGAUGAUGACGGUACCUGAAGAAUAAGCACCGGCUAACUGCGUGCCAGCAGCCGCAGUAA
RNAcentral lists this ribosomal RNA (450 nucleotides) under uncultured bacterium. RNAcentral describes it as "partial 16S ribosomal RNA". It matches the Rfam family "Bacterial small subunit ribosomal RNA", at positions 29 to 523 of the family's 1533-position model. The record is from RNAcentral.